Molecule: long non-coding RNA, 199 nt
Filed under: Lathyrus oleraceus (garden pea)
Lineage: Eukaryota; Viridiplantae; Streptophyta; Magnoliopsida; Fabales; Fabaceae
Description: Pisum sativum (pea) long non-coding RNA (PSAT_LNC017103)
Source: RNAcentral
UUUGAUGUUAAUGAUUUUUGGAUUGGGCUUCGUUUUGAGAUUUUCUAGAAAUGAGAGUGAUGGAUAUUCAACGUGUUCAUCCUCUGUUUUUCAUUUUGAAACCAUUAGAUCCAUUUUCGAAAAAGUAAAAACGUGGUUCGUGUUGUGUGUGUGUGUGUGUGUGUGUGAGAGAGAGAGAGAGGGGGGGGCUUGAAGAGAG